GAUUAGAUACCCCACUAUGCCUAGCCCUAAACCUUGGUAAUAUAUCACAUACCCUACCCGCCUGGGAACUACGAGCACCAGCUUAAAACCCAAAGGACUUGGCGGUGCUUUAGACCCCCCUAGAGGAGCCUGUUCUGGAACCGAUAACCCCCGUUCAACCUCACCCUUCCUUGUUUAUCCCGCCUAUAUACCGCCGUCGUCAGCUUACCCUGUGAAGGCCUAAAAGUAAGCACAACUGGCACAACCCAAAACGUCAGGUCGAGGUGUAGCGCAUGGAGGGGGAAGAAAUGGGCUACAUUCCCUAUAUUAGGGAACACGAACGGCGCACUGAAACACGCGCCUGAAGGAGGAUUUAGUAGUAAGCGGAAAAUAGCGUGUUCCGCUGAAAUCGGCCCUGAAGCGCGCACACACCG
Molecule: ribosomal RNA, 413 nt
Filed under: Sebastes itinus (willow rockfish)
Lineage: Eukaryota; Metazoa; Chordata; Actinopteri; Perciformes; Sebastidae
Description: partial 12S rRNA
Rfam family: Bacterial small subunit ribosomal RNA
Source: RNAcentral